RNAcentral lists this ribosomal RNA (253 nucleotides) under uncultured bacterium. RNAcentral describes it as "partial 16S ribosomal RNA". It matches the Rfam family "Bacterial small subunit ribosomal RNA", at positions 524 to 776 of the family's 1533-position model. The record is from RNAcentral.
UACGUAGGGCGCAAGCGUUAUCCGGAAUUAUUGGGCGUAAAGAGCUCGUAGGCGGUUUGUCGCGUCUGCCGUGAAAGUCCGGGGCUCAACUCCGGAUCUGCGGUGGGUACGGGCAGACUAGAGUGAUGUAGGGGAGACUGGAAUUCCUGGCGUAGCGGUGAAAUGCGCAGAUAUCAGGAGGAACACCGGUGGCGAAGGCGGUUCUCUGGGCAUUACCUGACGCUGAGGAGCGAAAGUGUGGGGAGCGAACAGG